This is a long non-coding RNA of Pelobates fuscus (common spadefoot toad), 717 nucleotides long. RefSeq lists it as uncharacterized. Lineage: Eukaryota; Metazoa; Chordata; Amphibia; Anura; Pelobatidae. The transcript has 2 exons. The record is from RefSeq and is a predicted model, not a curated record.
GACUGCAACUGGAGGUGUUCCUAGCUUUCAAUGGAAACACUGUAUUUUCUCAGAAAAUACAGAGUUUACAUGAGAAAGGCUGCAGGGAGCUAUAGUUCUCACCUGAACAACCUCAUUAAGCUGAAGUUGUUCAGGUGACUAUAGUGUCCCUUUAAGCAAAUAUAUUUUUGUAAGGUCGAAAAAUAAAACUACAGGUAUAAAUCCACAUGUCUGUUAUGGAACUGGGUGCCUCCAUCUUUGCUCCCUGGCAGUCACUGUACUAAACCUUGCUCUUUUUUUGCCAUUGGACAUAGUGGAAGUAGAGAAAUGAAACAAUGUUUCUGUUCUCCUCAUUUGCAUUGUAUGCCUUGGCUGUGCCGGGACUGAUAUGGCACUCUACUUACAAACUGUUUUAAAAGCAAUAGAAAAAUAAACAGAGAAUCAUAUAAAAAAAAGAUUAACACAAGUUAUAGAUGAUUUUUAGUGUUUCAUUCAAUAAUAUCAUUUCCAAGUUGAAAGCUAUAACUAUAUUGUUUAUGCAUGCCCUGUCUUGCCUUAAAGAGCCAGUAAGUGUAAAAAAUAUACUCUCUGCUUUUUUUUUUUUCUUUAAAUUCGUCAAAUUGCUUAUACCUUUUUUUCCUUUACCUAAUAUGAUUGUAUUGAUCAUUAUUUCUGUUUUUUCUUCUAAAUAAAAUAUUAAUUCCCACUGUAUGUGUAAAUAUACCACCAAAGAAAGCA